Molecule: ribosomal RNA, 463 nt
Filed under: uncultured Pseudomonas sp.
Lineage: Bacteria; Pseudomonadati; Pseudomonadota; Gammaproteobacteria; Pseudomonadales; Pseudomonadaceae
Description: bacterial SSU rRNA
Rfam family: Bacterial small subunit ribosomal RNA
Source: RNAcentral
UAACACAUGCAAGUCGAGCGGAUGACGGGAGCUUGCUCCUUGAUUCAGCGGCGGACGGGUGAGUAAUGCCUAGGAAUCUGCCUGGUAGUGGGGGACAACGUUUCGAAAGGAACGCUAAUACCGCAUACGUCCUACGGGAGAAAGCAGGGGACCUUCGGGCCUUGCGCUAUCAGAUGAGCCUAGGUCGGAUUAGCUAGUUGGUGGGGUAAUGGCUCACCAAGGCGACGAUCCGUAACUGGUCUGAGAGGAUGAUCAGUCACACUGGAACUGAGACACGGUCCAGACUCCUACGGGAGGCAGCAGUGGGGAAUAUUGGACAAUGGGCGAAAGCCUGAUCCAGCCAUGCCGCGUGUGUGAAGAAGGUCUUCGGAUUGUAAAGCACUUUAAGUUGGGAGGAAGGGCAGUAAGCUAAUACCUUGCUGUUUUGACGUUACCGACAGAAUAAGCACCGGCUAACUCUGUG